This 254-nucleotide ribosomal RNA is filed under the name uncultured bacterium. RNAcentral's name for it is "partial 16S ribosomal RNA". It matches the Rfam family "Bacterial small subunit ribosomal RNA", at positions 524 to 776 of the family's 1533-position model. The record is from RNAcentral.
UACGUAGGGUGCAAGCGUUAAUCGGAAUUACUGGGCGUAAAGGGAGCGUAAGCGGACAUUUAAGUCAGGAGUGGAAAUCCCGGGGCUCAACCUCGGAAUUGCCUUUGAUACUGGGUGUCUUGAGUAUGAGAGAGGUAUGCGGAACUCCGAGUGUAGAGGUGAAAUUCGUAGAUAUUCGGAAGAACACCAGUGGCGAAGGCGACAUACUGGCUCAUUACUGACGCUGAGGCUCGAAAGCGUGGGGAGCAAACAGG